UUGGAGGGCAAGUCUGGUGCCAGCAGCCGCGGUAAUUCCAGCUCCAAUAGCGUAUAUUAAAGUUGUUGCAGUUAAAAAGCUCGUAGUUGAAUUUCGGGAUCAGAGUGUCGGUCGUGCCUCGGUACGCACUGGUAUUAUUGGUUCCUACCUUUUGAAGAACCGCGAUGUCAUUAAUUUGGUGUCGUGGGGAAUCAGGACUGUUACUUUGAAAAAAUUAGAGUGUUUAAAGCAGGCUUACGCUUGAAUACAUUAGCAUGGAAUAAUGAAAUAGGACGUUUGAUUCUAUUUUGUUGGUUUCUAGGAUUGACGUAAUGAUUAAUAGGGAUAGUUGGGGGCAUUAGUAUUCAAUUGUCAGAGGUGAAAUUCUUGGAUUUAUUGAAGACUAACUACUGCGAAAGCAUUUGCCAAGGAUGUUUUCAUUAAUCAAGGACGAAAGUUAGGGGAUCGAAGACGAUCAGAUACCGUCGUAGUCUUAACCAUAAACUAUGCCGACUAGGGAUCGGAUGAUGUUAAUUUUUUAAUGACUCAUUCGGCGCCUUACGGGAAAC
This 548-nucleotide ribosomal RNA is filed under the name uncultured Glomeromycotina. RNAcentral's name for it is "SSU rRNA". It matches the Rfam family "Eukaryotic small subunit ribosomal RNA", at positions 548 to 1098 of the family's 1831-position model. Lineage: Eukaryota; Fungi; Glomeromycota. The record is from RNAcentral.